This 478-nucleotide ribosomal RNA is filed under the name uncultured bacterium. Its description in RNAcentral is "partial 16S ribosomal RNA". It matches the Rfam family "Bacterial small subunit ribosomal RNA", at positions 28 to 507 of the family's 1533-position model. The record is from RNAcentral.
GAUGAACGCUGGCGGCGUGCUUAACACAUGCAAGUCGAACGAGAAGUGAAGACGGAAACCUUCGGGCGGAAGGCUUUAUUUCGAGUGGCGGACGGGUGAGUAACGCGUGGGUAACCUGCCUCAUACAGGGGGAUAACAGUUGGAAACGACUGUUAAUACCGCAUAAGACCACAGCACCGCAUGGUGCGGGGGUAAAAACUCCGGUGGUAUGAGAUGGACCCGCGUUCGAUUAGCUAGUUGGCGGGGUAACGGCCCACCAAAGCGACGAUCGAUAGCCGAUCUGAGAGGAUGACCGGCCACAUUGGGACUGAGACACGGCCCAAACUCCUACGGGAGGCAGCAGUGGGGAAUAUUGCACAAUGGGGGAAACCCUGAUGCAGCGACGCCGCGUGAGUGAAGAAGUAUUUCGGUAUGUAAAGCUCUAUCAGCAGGGAAGAAAAUGACGGUACCUGAGUAAGAAGCCCCGGCUAACUACGUG